Molecule: ribosomal RNA, 1372 nt
Filed under: uncultured bacterium
Lineage: Bacteria
Description: bacterial SSU rRNA
Rfam family: Bacterial small subunit ribosomal RNA
Source: RNAcentral
GAUGAACGCUGGCGGCGUGCCUAAUACAUGCAAGUCGAGCGAACGGACGAGAAGCUUGCUUCUCUGAUGUUAGCGGCGGACGGGUGAGUAACACGUGGAUAACCUACCUAUAAGACUGGGAUAACUUCGGGAAACCGGAGCUAAUACCGGAUAAUAUUUUGAACCGCAUGGUUCAAAAGUGAAAGACGGUCUUGCUGUCACUUAUAGAUGGAUCCGCGCUGCAUUAGCUAGUUGGUAAGGUAACGGCUUACCAAGGCAACGAUCCAUAGCCGACCUGAGAGGGUGAUCGGCCACACUGGAACUGAGACACGGUCCAGACUCCUACGGGAGGCAGCAGUAGGGAAUCUUCCGCAAUGGGCGAAAGCCUGACGGAGCAACGCCGCGUGAGUGAUGAAGGUCUUCGGAUCGUAAAACUCUGUUAUUAGGGAAGAACAUAUGUGUAAGUAACUGUGCACAUCUUGACGGUACCUAAUCAGAAAGCCACGGCUAACUACGUGCCAGCAGCCGCGGUAAUACGUAGGUGGCAAGCGUUAUCCGGAAUUAUUGGGCGUAAAGCGCGCGUAGGCGGUUUUUUAAGUCUGAUGUGAAAGCCCACGGCUCAACCGUGGAGGGUCAUUGGAAACUGGAAAACUUGAGUGCAGAAGAGGAAAGUGGAAUUCCAUGUGUAGCGGUGAAAUGCGCAGAGAUAUGGAGGAACACCAGUGGCGAAGGCGACUUUCUGGUCUGUAACUGACGCUGAUGUGCGAAAGCGUGGGGAUCAAACAGGAUUAGAUACCCUGGUAGUCCACGCCGUAAACGAUGAGUGCUAAGUGUUAGGGGGUUUCCGCCCCUUAGUGCUGCAGCUAACGCAUUAAGCACUCCGCCUGGGGAGUACGACCGCAAGGUUGAAACUCAAAGGAAUUGACGGGGACCCGCACAAGCGGUGGAGCAUGUGGUUUAAUUCGAAGCAACGCGAAGAACCUUACCAAAUCUUGACAUCCUUUGACAACUCUAGAGAUAGAGCCUUCCCCUUCGGGGGACAAAGUGACAGGUGGUGCAUGGUUGUCGUCAGCUCGUGUCGUGAGAUGUUGGGUUAAGUCCCGCAACGAGCGCAACCCUUAAGCUUAGUUGCCAUCAUUAAGUUGGGCACUCUAAGUUGACUGCCGGUGACAAACCGGAGGAAGGUGGGGAUGACGUCAAAUCAUCAUGCCCCUUAUGAUUUGGGCUACACACGUGCUACAAUGGACAAUACAAAGGGCAGCGAAACCGCGAGGUCAAGCAAAUCCCAUAAAGUUGUUCUCAGUUCGGAUUGUAGUCUGCAACUCGACUACAUGAAGCUGGAAUCGCUAGUAAUCGUAGAUCAGCAUGCUACGGUGAAUACGUUCCCGGGUCU